UGGGAACAUACCCUUCGGUUCGGAAUAACUCAGGGAAACUUGGGCUAAUACCGGAUACGUCCGUGAGGAGAAAGAUUCAUCGCCGAAGGAUUGGCCCGCGUAAGAUUAGCUAGUUGGUGAGGUAACGGCUCACCAAGGCUAUGAUCUUUAGCUGGUCUGAGAGGACGAUCAGCCACACUGGGACUGAGACACGGCCCAGACUUCUACGGGAGGCAG
RNAcentral lists this ribosomal RNA (216 nucleotides) under uncultured bacterium. RNAcentral describes it as "partial 16S ribosomal RNA". It matches the Rfam family "Bacterial small subunit ribosomal RNA", at positions 118 to 351 of the family's 1533-position model. The record is from RNAcentral.